This 6542-nucleotide long non-coding RNA is filed under the name Malus domestica (apple). RNAcentral's name for it is "long non-coding RNA (MDOM_LNC012739)". Lineage: Eukaryota; Viridiplantae; Streptophyta; Magnoliopsida; Rosales; Rosaceae. The record is from RNAcentral.
AUCUUGAAUAUGUCCUGUUAACUCAUCCAUUACCAACGCAAAAAGGUAAGGACUUAAGGAUUGUUGAUGCACAAAAUCAGUGAGGACUUUGGUACAACAGAGAGUAUUAAGUUUGUGAUCUUCGCUAGAUUGCUCUGGUCAUUAGUGUGGAUAAGUACGUAAAUGGAUAGAGACAGGAAAGCAAACACAAGAUGUAUGUGGUUCACCCAGAUUGGCUACGUCCACGGAGUAGAGGAGUUCUCAUUAAUUCUGAAGGGUUUACGCAAGUACAUAGGUUCAAGCUCUCCUUUAGUGAGUACAAGUGAAUGAUUUAGUACAAAUGACAUAGGUGCAGGCUCUCGUCUUCACUUGCCUUAACUGUCUCAUAGGUAGAUGUGGCAUCUUCUCUGGAAGUACGCUUCCUCCAUCCAGGGGUGGUAUCUUUAACUAGUGGAGAUGCACAAGGUAAUGUAUCAAUUUCACUUGAAGCUUACUUGUAGUUUCAGGCUUGGUCAAGCGCGAUACAAACCAUGUAGUAGGAGUCCCCCAAGUCGCCGAGCUAGGGGAUCUGCUGAAAGAGGUGACAGACAAGGUAAGCAAUCAGAGCUCCAAGCAAUCAGUCCCAGGUCAAAAGUUUGAUUUUGAGUUCCGGCUGAUUGUUCUCAUUCUCCCUAUCUUGCAGGCAGCAUGAAGGAUAAAUAGAAGAAAAGGAGAAUAGAUGAUAUGAGAUACUUUUGCUUUUGAAGAAGUAACUUUCCACAGGCUUAUUCUUGAACUGGGCUCGAGGAUUUUCUGGUUUCCUCCAGAGUAUAAGGCCAACUGAAGAAUUUGAGGGUCAAAACACGUCCAUCAAAUCUAGAGUACGUUCGACCCUGCUGAUAUGGGAUACUUUUACUGUUGACAAAGUAGUGGAUGUAUCGGCACGUGUUCUGUUACGCUUGUCUCACAUGCUUCCUUGUAUCCUUCUCACUUUCCCUAUCUGUUCCUCAGGUAGAUGUGGUAUCUUCUCUGGAAGCAUAAGAUGUUGAAGAUGGGUACUUGAGAGCAAUGCCAGGUAAGUAAUCAGGUAAGGGGUUCCAGGCAGUCAGUUCCUGAUUGGAAGCUUGAUUCCAAGUGCUGACUGAUUGCUCUCUUUCUCCUUGUCUUGCAGGUAAGAACAAGGCCAAAGGAAAAGACAAGGAAAAAGCAUGAUAUAGGAUACUCUUGCUUUUAACCCUGAUGAUAUGAGAUAUUCUUGCUCUGGUGUAGCUUGUUUGUAGAGGUAUUAUCGAGGGGAAAAAAUGCUGAGUAUUUCGAAAGGCUUCGUUGGGAGUGCCCUUUCAGAUAUGAGGAAGGGUUGAGCAUUUUUGCAGGUCUGCCUAUCCGUUGAGGAUGGAGGCCGACAUAUAUAGGAGUUUCCCUAACAACAAGUAGUAAUGUUAUUCCUUUACCCUGCUUGGUUAUAGCACGGUAGUGGGAGCUGCCAGCUUCACGUGUGUCAGAGCACUUUGAAAAAGUGGUCUGUGGUAUCUGGAAAGCUGAUGUUGCGUGUGAAGAUUAUAGACAAGCUUUAUCCAAGGAGAUCUGGCUCUCGAAGUUGAGAAAGCAGUGCCUCUUCGGUUUUCGUACAAGCAAUCCUGUCGGAGAUCUGGCUCUCGAGAUUCGGAAAAUGGUGCCUCUUCGAUUUUUGAGAGAGCAAUCCUACUGGGAGUCUAGCUCUCGAGAUUCGGAGAGUGGUGUCUCUUCGAUUUUUGAGAAAGUAAUCAUGUUGGGAGUCUGGCUCUCGAGAUUCGGAGGACGGUGCCUCUUCGAUUUUGGAGCAAGCAAUCUUGUUGGGAGUGUUUUCUCGAAUGUAAGUAAAGGUUGGGCAUGUUUGCUAGUGUACCUUGCCACAGAGCGCAGAGGUUGACACACAAGGACUUUCCAAUUAUCCAGCAGCGGUGCUGUUCCUUUACCCUUGUAGGUAAUAAUAUGGUAGCUAGACCUUCAAAAUUUAUGUAUCUAAACUUUGUUAGUGCUGUUUCUUUGCUAUUCUUUUACCCUUCUUGGUCAUAGCGAUGUAGUGGGAGCUGCAAGCUUCACGUGUCUAAACUUUGUCAGAGAUCUUUGGAAAAGUUAUCUAUGGUACCCAUGAGCUGAUGGUGCGUGUGGAAAGUGGAUGAUUGAACAGUAAGAUUCACGUGCUUUCUACUUCACCAGAAAUCUUCAACAGAAUGCCCGUAAUUUCAGCAAAGCUGAGUGUGCAUGUGACAGGUGCUGACGAGGCUGAAAAAAGCAGGUGCCUCUUCGAUUUCUAAGAUCGGCCCUCGUGGUCUCUGAGCAGCCCAGCUUUUGAAAAAGCAAGCGCCUCUUCGAUUUCUGAGAUCGGCCUUCGUGGUCUUUGAGCAGCCUAGCUUUUGAGAAAGCAAACACCUCUUCGAUUUCUGAGAUCCGCCCUUGUUGUCUCUGAGCAGCCCAGCUUUUGAGAAAGCAAAUGCCUCUUCGAUUUCUGGGCAGGCGCUUCUUCGAUUUCUGAAACUCCGUCGAGUGCAGAUUUUUAUAGAGGCUGGCAUAAGUUCCAAAGCACACUUGAAUCUUCACCAGCAGAAGCUCCCUUCUUACACUUCUAAGAUCUUGAUUUGUUCGACCUCUUCUCUCUUCAACACCUUUGAAAAUGUCUGGCCCCUCCGACCGUCGUUUUGACUUGAACCUCGUUGAAGAGGUAGCCACACCUUCUCCAGACAACAUAUGGCGCCCAUCCUUCUUAUCCCCUACUGGUCCGCUUACCGUUGGGGAUUCCGUGAUGAAGAAUGAUAUGACUACUGCGGUGGUGGCCAGGAACCUUUUCACUCCCAAAGAUAACAGACUACUUUCCAAACGGUCUGAUAGGUUAGCUGUUAAGGAUUCUCUGGCUCUAAGUGUUCAGUGUGCAGGUUCUGUGUCUAAUAUGGCUCAGCGCCUAUUUGCUCGAACCCGCCAAGUUGAAUCAUUGGCGGCUGAAGUGAUGAGUCUCAAACAAGAGAUUAGAGCGCUCAAGCAUAAGAAUAAACAGUUGCACCAGCUCGCACAUGACUAUGCUAUAAACAUGAAGAGGAAGCUUGACCAAAUGAAGGAAUCUGAUGGUCAGGUUUUACUUGAUCGUGAGCGGUUUGUGGGUUUGUUCCAAAGGCAUUUAUUGCCUUCGUCUUCUGGGGCUGUACAGCGUACUGAAGCUCUAAAUGAUCAACCUUCGAUGCCUCUUCCUUCUAGGGUUCUGUCCAGUACUGAGGCUCCGAAUGAUCCUCCUCCGGUGCCUUCUCUUUCUGGGGCUCUACCGACUGCUGAGACUUCUCCUAAGCAACCUUUGUGAAGGCUCCCUCUUAUUUGUUUAUUUUGACUCAUGUAUAUGUACAUAUUUGUAACUUAUCGGAGAUAUCAAUAAUUAGGUUUUGCUUCAUUUCAACGUAUUGUGUUAAAUACACCAAAGCCUUCUUCACUGAGUGGGGUCGGCUAUAUGAAUCUUAGAACGCCAUUGUGCUCGGUCCUGUGUCAUGUCCUUCGUUAGAUCCAAAUACUCUAAGUCUUUUCUUAGAGUCUCUUCCAAAGUUUUCCUAGGUCUUCCUCUACCCCUCCGGCCCUAAACCUCUGUCCCGUAAUCGCAUCUUCUAACUGGAGCGUCAGUAGGCCUUCUUUGCACAUGUCCAAACCACCGUAACCGAUUUUCUCUCAAUUUUCCUACAAUUUCGACUACUUCUACUUUACCUCGGAUAUCCUCAUUCCUAAUCUUAUCCUUUCUCGUGUGCCUACACAUCCAACGAAGCAUCCUCAUCUCCGCUACACCCAUUUUGUGUACGUGUUGAUGCUUCACCGCCCAACAUUCUGUGCUAUACAGCAUCGUCGGCCUUAUUCCUGUCCUAUAAACUUUUCCCUUGAGCUUCAGUGGCAUACGGCGAUCACACAACACGCCGGAUACACUCUUCUACUUCAUCCAUCCAGCUUGUAUUCUAUGGUUGAGAUCUCCAUCUAAUUCUCCGUUCUUUUGCAAGAUAGAUCCUAAGUAGCGAAAACGAUCGCUCUUUGGUAUUUCCUGAUCUCCGAUCCUCACCCCUAACUCAUUUUGGCCUCCAUUUGCACUGAACUUGCACUCCAUAUAUUCUGUCUUUGAUCGGCUUAGGCGAUGAUAGGAGCAUAUUUAUGCGACUUAGUUAGCUUGUUUUCUUGCAUUUUCAUAGUUUGUUUAUGUUUAUUAUAGUGUUUUAAGCUAUUUUCGUGGGUUUGUAGGUUCAUAUGACAAAGUUGGCAAGAAAGUGCAUUUUGGAGCAUUUUGAGGCAGUUUUGGGCACCAAAUGGAUAGCUUAUGAAUGAAGCAAGAUGGAUGGACGAAUUUGAUGUUCAAGAGGCUAGGAAUGUGCUGAAAUGAGUGAAGAAAUAAAUCCAAGUCAAGGAAGAUAAGAAAUCAGCUCAAAAGAAGGAACAUUAUCCAAAACCUUAUCCAACCUUAUCUUAUCUUAUCCUAAUCCUAUCCUAAUUUAAUUCCAGCUGCAUGGGGGAUUUAUUUUCAAAUUAGGACACAUUAAAAUUGGUUUCUAGAAGCCCUUAUCCACUCCUACAAAGGUGCCACACCUUAUCCCUUGUUUUUCUAAAAAUCAGCCACAAAACAACCUUUCUAGAAGGCCUUAUCCCUUGUCCUACAAAAGUGACGCCCCAAACCUUUCUAGAACUUCUAGAAACCUGAUUAUUCAUUUCCCCCUUGGUUUUUAAAAGCCUUAGCCUUUUCCUUCAAGGAUUGUGUGUUAUUAUCCUAUACAAAUUAGGCCUUUAAAUCCUUUUCCUUUGCUACAUAGGGGCUGCGAAUUUCAGCCUAUAAAUACCAUCCUUCGCUGCACCAUUUAGUCACCACCCUCUACCAUAUUUUCUCUACACCAUUCACCCAAACAUCCCUCUUUUGCCGUGAGCUUGCAAAGGAGAAGGAAGGAGACUCUUGGAGCCGUGUAUGCCAUUCAAGGAACUUGGAUUGUUGGAGCAUUUCUAGGUGUUUUCUAUCUUUAUGUCAAUGUUUAGAUUUAUUUAUCUUUGUUUAUUUGCGAACAUGAGGAACUAAUUUCUUUAUAGUUAGAGGGGAAUUCAAAGCCAUGAUCAUAUGUUUUAUAUGACUUGAUUUCCUCCAGUUAUGAUUUCAUAAAUAGUGAAUGUGGUUUACUCAUCUAUUUGAUUGAUAACUUGUUCUUGUGUGUUAAUUAAGGAUGCAUAUUUAGUUCGCAUGCAUGAAUUUGAUGCUAGAGUAUAAGGGAAUUUCACCUAAUCGUUAUUAACUUAUAUUCAUAAGUAGUAAAAGUCGCUAGUCACGAUUGUGUUAAGUAAAUCCUUGGCAAGAGUAACAUGCGUAUUCCAUAGUUAUGAAUGCCUCGUCAAUGCUUAUGAUUUCCAUUGAACUUAAUGAUCUUUGAUAUGUGUCUCUAUCAUGCGUAUUCCAUAGUUAGGGUCCUUGAUAAGAAUAAUUUGGUUGCAAUGCGUAUUCCAUUCAAUUCAAUGAAUCUAGGGAAAUCUGAGAAUUAAUUGUUGCAAUCUAGUUAAUUUGGGGCAUUGUCAUUCAUGGUUUGUUGAAAGAGUAACUGGAAAUCGAGUCGUAUGCAUAUGUUUCAUGUGUGGAGAAGGAACCCUCUAACUAGCCUUUCACCAUUCUUUUUCAUCCAAAAUCGUUUUUGUUAAGUUGUUUUUAAAGUUUAUGUUUUAAAGUCCAAUUUCGUCAAAACCAAACCCCUUACUUUUAAGUCUUGUUCUUAGAGUCAAAACUUGUUUCCUUUAAGUCUUUUGAGUCUUUGAAGUUCUAUUUUCGUCCAAAUCACUUGUUAGGUCUAGAAUUGAGUCUUUUUUAUUGUUAUUUGCUGUUUUGAGUGUUUUGAGUUAGUUUUGAGUCUAUAGAGUCUAGUUUAGUGUUUUUGAGUCUUAUUUGUGUUGAUUAGCAUCCCUAGUUAAUCCCCGGUCUAUAACGAUCCCUACUUGCAUCAUUACUACAAUUGUCAUCAAUAGGGUUUAAUUUGUGUGUCAACUUAAUUCUCACAUCAGGCGAAGACCUUUAGAUUCCAACACUUCUCUCCAAAGGUUAAGCUUCGCAUUUACCCCUUUCUGAGUUUCAUCUAUCAACACUAUAUCGUCUGCGAAAAGCAUACACCAAGGAAUAUCAUCUUGAAUAUAUCAUGUUAACUCAUCCAUUACCAACGCAAAAAGGUAAGGACUUAAGGAUGAGCCUUGAUGUAAUCCUACAGUUAUGGGGAAGCUUUCGGUUUGUCCUUCAUGAGUUCUUACGGUAGUCUUUGCUCAUUCAUACAUAUCCUUUAUAGCUUGGAUAUAUGCUACUCGUACUCCUUUCUUCUCUAAAAUCCUCCAAAGAAUGUCUCUUGGUACCCUAUCAUACGCUUUUUCCAAAUCUAUAAAGACCAUGUGUAAAUCCUUUUUCCCAUCUCUAUAUCUUUCCAUCAAUCUUCGUAAGAGAAAGAUUGCCUCCAUGGUUGAGCGCCCUGGCAUGAACCCGAAUUGGUUGUCCGAAACCCGUGUCUCUUGCCUCAAUCUAUGCUCAAUGACUCUCUCCCAGAGCUUCAUUGUAUGGCUCAUUAGCUUAAUACCCC